UGACCCGUCUUGAAACACGGACCAAGGAGCCUAGCGUAUACGCAAGUCGUUCAGAUUUACAAAACUAGAAUGGCGUAACGAAAGCAAUAAGUAUAUGUUCAUACAUGUAUAUAUACUGUUACGAAGUCGUGUACAAUUUAUGUAUAUGAUUGAAGUAGCAAUACGCUGCUAAGUAGCGUAUUAGAGCGUAUACGGUAGUACCCGAAAGAUGGUGAAUUAUGCUUGAGCAGGGUGAAGCCAAAGGAAACUUUGGUGGAAGCCCGUAGCAAUUUUGACGUGCAAAUCGAUUGUCAGACUUGAGUAUAGCGGCGAAAGACUAAUCGAACCAUCUAGUAGCUGGUUUCCUUCGAAAUUUCCCGCAGGAUAGCAAGCGCACACUAAAUCAUUUGAACCUGUUACAGUAUCAAUAGAAGGUAACGGGGCGUUAAUUGACCUUGUCCUUUUCUUAAACUCGGUCAAUGGGUUAUGUUUGCAUAGCUCGCAACAUGUUUAUUACAUGUUGAAAACGAUAAUGAUCCGCGCUUAGUGGGCCAUUUUUGGUAAGCAGAACUGGCGAUGUGGGAUGAACCGUACACAGAGUUAAAGUGCCUAAUGUAUAUACGCUAAUAAGAUCCCAUUAAAGAUGUUGUUCGCUUAAGACAGUAGGGCGGUGGCCAUGGAAGUCGGCAUCCGCUAAGGAGUGUGUAACAACUCACCUACCGAAGCGUUCAACUCUGAAAAUGGAUGGCGCUUAAGCGUUAUACUGAAACUUUGUCGUAGGAAGUAAUUUCAUUUUCGAAAAUAUAUUGUUAAAUUAGUUUUAAUAAUGUAUAAAUUAGACUCCUACGAGUAGGAGGAAUGCAGUGAUAGCGUCGAAGCUUUAGACGUAAGUCUGGGUGGAGCUGUUGCUGGUACAGAUCUUGGUGGUAGUAGCAAACAAACAAGUGACAACCUUGUUGACCGACGUGGAUACGGGUUCCAUGUGAACAGUAUUUGGUCAUGGGUUAGUCGAUCCUGAAAGGUGCGGCGAAAGCCGUUUCGUAAGAAGUGUUUCUUGAGAAUACACCUUGAAAGGGAAUGGAGUUAAUAUUCUUCAACCAUGCGUGUGAGAAAUUAUAUAAGGCGGUAACGCGUUCGAACUCAGAGACAUCAGUUGGAGUCCUGGGAAGAGAUUUCUUCUCUUCUUUAAGGUGUGCUUAAGUGCCUUGAAACAGUUUAGCUGGAGACAGGGAUGUACGCACCGAAAUACACUGCGCUUCAUGUAGUGCGUUCAGUGUACUCUGAUUGAUCCUUGAAAAUCUGGGCAAGUUUGUAUAAAUCACUGCAUGAUCGUACCUGGAUCCGCAACCGGUAUCCUAGGUAAACAGCCUCUGGUCUAAUAGAAGAAUGUAAGUAAGGGAAGUCGGCAAAACUGAUCUGUAUCUUUGGUACAAAGAUUGGCUCUGGCGCGUUUGUUAUCUGGAUUAUAGUUAGUAAACUUGUGAUAUAUUACUUGUUCUGGUAGGCGUCUCACGAUGCUAACUGGCACUUGUUUUGAAUUACUUGUUAAACACURUAAAYACGGAUAACAAUUAUAACAAAUAGUCAGAACUAUCAUUGACUUUUCGGAAUCUGACUGUUUAAUUAAAACAUAGCAUUGAGAUGACUGGUGACCCAGUGUUGACUCAAUGUGAAUUCUGCCCAGUGCUCUGAAUGUCAACGUGUAGAAAUUCAAUGAAGCGCGGGUAAACGGCGGGAGUAACUAUGACUCUCUUAAGGUAGCCAAAUGCCUCGUCAUCUAAUUAGUGACGUGCAUGAAUGGAUUAACGAGAUUCCAUCUGUCCCUACUUACUAUCUAGCGAAACCACAGCCAAGGGAACGGGCUUGGAAAAAUCAGCGGGGAAAGAAGACCCUGUUGAGCUUGACUCUAGUCUGGCAUUGUGAGGAAACUGUAUUUGGUAUAGCAUAGGUGGGAGGCGUUUCGGCGUCGUUACAAACUGUAAAACCACCACAAUACAGCACCACUCACUGACUUAGUUAUGAGGCUUACUUUGUGAUUUCUUCGGAUUUUGCAAAGGAAACUUGAUAAUUAGUAAACUAAGUCGAGAUGGUAGAUUCGUAUUUGCAGUGAUUAACGUUACUGUAAAUCGAGUUUACACUUAACAUCACGUCGAGGCAUUAUCUAAGGACAGUGCCAGGCGGGGAGUUUGACUGGGGCGGUACAUCUAUCAAAUGCUAACGUAGGUGUCCUAAUGUUAGCUCAGUAAGAACAGAAAUCUUACGUAGAAUAUAAGGGUAUAAGCUGGCUUGAUUCUGAAUAACAGUACGAUUGCGAGACAAGAAAUUGUGGCCUAACGAUCCUUUUGAGAAGCGAAAUAUUAUUAAUGCAUAAUACAAGAGGUGUCAGAAAAGUUACCACAGGGAUAACUGGCUUGUGGCGGCCAAGCGUUCAUAGCGACGCCGCUUUUUGAUCCUUCGAUGUCGGCUCUUCCUAUCAUUGUGA
Molecule: ribosomal RNA, 2461 nt
Filed under: Aethiophenax ipidarius
Lineage: Eukaryota; Metazoa; Arthropoda; Arachnida; Trombidiformes; Acarophenacidae
Description: partial large subunit ribosomal RNA
Source: RNAcentral